CCUACGGGUGGCAGCAGUGAGGAAUAUUGGUCAAUGGCCGUAAGGCUGAACCAGCCAAGUCGCGUGAAGGAAGAAGGAUCUAUGGUUUGUAAACUUCUUUUAUAUGGGAAUAAAACAGGGUAUGCAUACCCUCUUGUAUGUACCAUAUGAAUAAGGAUCGGCUAACUCCGUGCCAGCAGCCGCGGUAAUACGGAGGAUCCGAGCGUUAUCCGGAUUUAUUGGGUUUAAAGGGAGCGUAGGUGGUUUGUUAAGUCAGUUGUGAAAGUUUGCGGCUCAACCGUAAAAUUGCAGUUGAAACUGGCAGUCUUGAGUACAGUAGAGGUGGGCGGAAUUCGUGGUGUAGCGGUGAAAUGCUUAGAUAUCACGAAGAACUCCGAUUGCGAAGGCAGCUCACUGGACUGCAACUGACACUGAUGCUCGAAAGUGUGGGUAUCAAACAGGAUUAGAUACCCUAGUAGUC
Molecule: ribosomal RNA, 460 nt
Filed under: uncultured bacterium
Lineage: Bacteria
Description: partial 16S ribosomal RNA
Rfam family: Bacterial small subunit ribosomal RNA
Source: RNAcentral